AAUUUUGGACAAUGGGGGCAACCCUGACCCAGCCAUCCCGUGUGUGCUAUGAAUGCAUUCGGGUUGUAAAGCACUUUUGGCAGGGAAGAAAAGGCUCUGGCUAAUACCUGGAGCUGCUGACGGUACCUGCAGAUUAAGCACCGGCUAACUACGUGCCAUAAGCCGCGGUAAUACGUAGGCUGCAAGCGUUAAGCGGAAUUACUGGGCGUAAAGCGUGCGCAGGCGGUACGGAAAGAAGAAUGUGAAAUCCCAGGGCUUAACCUUGGAACUGCAUUCUUAACUGCCGGGCUAGAGUAUGUCAGAGGGGGGUAGAAUUCCGCGUGUAGCAGUGAAAUGCGUAGAGAUGCGGAGGAAUACCGAUGGCGAAGGCAGCCCCCUGGGAUAAUACUGACGCUCAUGCACGAAAGCGUGGGGAGCAAAC
This 421-nucleotide ribosomal RNA is filed under the name uncultured bacterium. RNAcentral's name for it is "partial 16S ribosomal RNA". It matches the Rfam family "Bacterial small subunit ribosomal RNA", at positions 360 to 773 of the family's 1533-position model. The record is from RNAcentral.